AUGGGCAAGGCGGGCAGGUGGCUCCGAAGCUUCUUGCCGGGCAAGAAGGACAGGGGGAGGGACGCCGGGGACCACAAGACCGGCCCUGAGGAGACGCCGCGGUGGGUGCCGGCGUGGAGUUCGCAGGCUGUGACGCCGGCGUCGACCCCGGGGGUCAAGGAGAAGCGGAGGUGGAGCUUCCGGCGUCCUGCGACGGCGGUGGGCGCCGGGGCGGGGAAGGAUGGCGCGUUCUUGGAGCCGCGGGUGCUGGACCCCGACCAGAGCGCCAUCGCGGUGGCGAUUGCCACCGCGGCCGCCGCCGAGGCCGCGGUGGCGGCCAAGCAGGCGGCCGCCGCCGUCGUCCGGUACGCCGCGUCCGCGCCGGGGUCGAAGCGCACCGUCAUCGGCAUUGAGGAGGCCGCGGCGAUCAAGAUUCAGUCCGUCUUCAGAUCCUACCUGGCGAGGAAGGCGCUGUGCGCGCUUAGGGGGCUGGUGAAGCUGCAGGCGCUCGUGCGCGGCCACCUCGUCCGGCGGCAGGCCAGCAACACGCUGCGCUGCAUGCAGGCGCUCGUCGCCGCCCAGAACAGGGCACGCACGGCGCGCCUCCGGCUGCUCGACGACGAGAGGCCCCUCCGCACGCCACGGAUGACGCCCACACGCCGCUCGCCGCACCAUCCCCGCCUCCGGCAGCAUCAGGAGACGGAGGAGAACAUCAAGAUCGUGGAGGUGGACACCGGGGCGGGCGACGUGCACUGCACGCCGAGGACGUCCCGGCGCAGCAGCUGCUACGCCACGCCGCUCUGCCGCACGCCGUCCAAGGUGGAGCUGUACCAGAAGGUGUCGCCGACGCCGUCGGCGCUGACGGACGCGAGCGGCCGGUCGUACAGCGGGCGGUACGAGGACUUCUCGUUCGGCACCGCGCGGGCCAGCCCGUACCACUACUACUACGCCUCGGACGCGUCGUGCAAGCAGCCGCCGCCGCCGCAGCAGCAGGGCCACGGCGCCGGCGCCGGCGCGGACCACCCGCUCCUGUUCCCCAGCUACAUGGCCAACACGCAGUCGUCGCGCGCCAAGGCGCGGUCGCAGAGCGCGCCGAGGCAGCGCGCGUCGGUGUCGUCGGCUCCCGAGGCGGCGUCGCCGUGGGAGAGGCAGGCAAGCGCAGGCCGGCGCAGGGCGUCGCUGGAGGGGCCGGCGCAGGCCGCCGCGCGCGGGCUGGCGUCCCCGAAGGGCGCCGUGCGCGUCCAGCGGUGCCAGUCGCAGGCGAGCGCGGCGUGCCCGUGGGGCGUGAGGCUGGACAUGUCGAGCGCGUCCGUCCACGACAGCGAGUGCGGGUCGACGAGCACCAUGAGGACCGCGGCCACCAGCAUGUACUGCUGGUCGGCGGCCGCCAACAGCACCGGCGUCGCGUGA
RNAcentral lists this ribosomal RNA (1389 nucleotides) under Triticum aestivum (bread wheat). RNAcentral describes it as "partial small subunit ribosomal RNA". Lineage: Eukaryota; Viridiplantae; Streptophyta; Magnoliopsida; Poales; Poaceae. The record is from RNAcentral.